UAGCCCCACAAUCCCGUUCAUCUGCUCGUCUCCUCCCCUCCCGCUCCCUUGCGUGUGCCGCGGCGGCGGCGCCGUCCCGACCCGCUGUCCCCCCCCCCCCCCCCGCCUCGAGCUCCAGAUCCAACAACAGUGGUGCUGGCCGCGACGGACGGUCGGAGGCGGCAGCGCGGAGGUGGAGGUUCACCAAACGAACGGAUGCAGCAGCGCUGGCUUGCCGGACGGCCGGCCGCGACGUUGCCGGGCGGCCGGACGCGGCAGCGCGGAGAUGGAGUCUCACCAGACGAGCGGAUGGAGCGGCGCUGGCUCGCCGGACGGCCGGCCGCAACGCUGGCGGAGGCUUGCCGGACGGCCGGACACGGCGGCGAGCCAGUGGAGUUCUCCAAUCCGCGAGUGGCCGGUCGCGCCGACGCCCCCUCCCUGCCCCCGCGCAUCGCGAAGGAGCCAGGCCUCCCGCCUCCCAUCGAUUUCCCGUCCGCCUCCGUCUCUGGCGAUUUUGCCUGGUCUGCUCUCUCUGACUCUCUCUCCCUGAGCAAGAGAAGAAGAUGUUGAGCUGCAGCCAUCCACGUCCUCUUCCUCCCCGACCAAGACAAGGAGAGGACGUCGAGCAGGGUCACCGCCUCCCCAUGGUCUGCUCGCCCCCUUUUUUUCUCUCCACAUCGCCAAGAUUGAAUAGUGGCCGGACGGGCGGAAUGGUGGUACUAUCCCGUCGGAUGCCGAGGCCGCCAUUCCCUCCACUAAGCUCGCCGCCUCGGAGCACAUCACGGCUCGGCUCGGUGCUGCCUCGAAGUGGCGAGGGGAGCGUUCUGGGGCGGUGGUUUUGUCAUGGCCGGCGCUGUAGUGCGAUCCCUAGGCUAGUGAAGAGACGGCGAUGACCAGGUGGAUCCAAGGAGGAGAAGAGGUCUCAUGGGAAGGAUGGGUUCAGAAUGCCAAGAUUCCUCCAUCCUCUGCUGGCAUCGAUCCAAAGAACUAGGUGUAUUCUAAAGGAAGAAGAUGCAGCUUAAUAAUAGAAGAAUGGGCCCAUAUCUUGCAAGCACAUCGCCGCACUCUGCUGGUAAUCCGCCCUCAAGGGUGCUCUCAUGAUGUAAAGCACUUUCCCCCCCAAUCAUGAAUCCAUGGGCAGCCGAAGGUUAUCUUUUCUUUUGCUCUGAUUUGUCUCAUUCCUUCUCUCUUUCACUCCCCAUAAUUUCUCUCCAGCUAAUGGUUUUGUUUGGUUGCUCUUAUAGUCAGUUCAUAUGACUAACAGUAACAAAAAUGAACCUUUAUUCACUGUUAGUGGAUUACCGUAUUUAUUCUAGGCUGAUAGUUGUGUUAUUCUUUUUGCAGAGAAACAGUGUCCUGUGAGGUGAGCUACCCUUUGAUAAAUUCAUCAAUUUAUAUCUAUUUCUUAUUCUUUAGUUGAUAUAAGUUUGUUAGAAGGCCAGUUCUUAGAUGUCAACAGAGUUUGAUCACACUCAGUGUCAGUAUGAUACACCUCAAUCUUCCAUAAAACUAGAUAACUAUCAUUCUAUUGGAAAUCUUACCAUUUUUCUCUUCCGGCUUGCUACUGAAUGAUACACAAUGCUUGGGUGGACGGUUUUCUCCCUGCUGAUCGCUCUGUUGCACAUUGACACACACGUGCUACCUUUUUCUCUAUCUAUUUAUUUAUAUGCUUUUGGCCUACUCUGAUUAGUUGGAACCAGAGAUUUACCAUAUGCAAGCCUGGGCAGAUUCUCUUUGAUGUAUCAUGGCAGGUAAUAGAUGGGUUACCAUUUGCCACUGAAAUUAUACCGAUGUGUUCUGCACCGGCUAUAGCUGUUGAAAUGAAUUUUUUGUAGACUAGAGAAUGUAUUUUCGUGCGAGGAGUUGUCGUGCCUAUAGGUUCGAGGGUAAAAUAAAAUUGCGAAUGAUUGGUUUAUGUGCCACCUCUCUGUUCUUAUUCCUAUAUGUGCAUCAGUAGAACUGCUAAUUAGGAUAGAUUCUAUUUGCAGUUCAAGUUUGCGCAAGGUAAUCAAUCGACCAUCCCUGUAUAUUUCUUUGAAGAAACAUAUACAUUCUUAUAAAGCCUCGGUGUCUUGCAUUUCAUAAUCUUUGAUUUCGCAUUGCUCCGCACAGGUGCCCAUCGGAGAAAUGGAAGGAGCACUGCUGAAGGAUGUUCCCUUAAUUCUUAUUCAUGGAGUGUUCUUGUGCAAAGACAGAUGGAGAAUAUCACGCCUCAUGCUAAUAGUAUGUGAAGUUAAAUACUCCAAAUGGGAAACCCAUAAUUAAUCAUUUGGAUGCUGCUUUUGUCUGCCAUGUUUAAGAAUUGGUCUCUUGCUUUCAAGCACUUCUUAGUAUAUAUAUUAGGAUAAAGUGGCGUUGGGUGUUUGAGGUAGUAGGUUACAUUGGCAUUAUAAUCAACUAGGUUUCUCUCCUGGUAUCUUUCUCCUGAUUAACUGCUGAAAUAUAGAACUAGCUUGAUUUUAUAAAUAUAUGAGGAACACAGUUAUUUUCAUUGUGUAUAAAAAAUUGGCUGAUGAAUUUUCUUAGUCCAGAUGGCCUCUUCUAUUUUGUUCUGGCGAGUUUGAAGCUAGAGCUGUAGUUUUAUUGUUAGAAACAGAAUCCAGCACAAUUAUUGAGGUAUGCCCUGGUAGAGUAAGUCCCUCUUUGUUCCCUACUUCUUGGUUAGUUUACACAUCGGAUUUAAGUUCUAGAUCCUAGAUUUCAUAGAUGUGAUGUUAGUGUUCUUUAUGCAUAUAGUGCAUUUCACAUUCUAUUCCCCUGAACAUUUGUGCGACUUAAGUUGUUCAUCCCCGUACGUAACAAACGUGAUCAGGCAAAAUUUCCAUCUACCUAAACGCCUUCAGGUACCAUGCAAUCUAAUUAUGUAAUUGACUGAUUAGACCUUAGAUUAACAAUACACGGCCUGCAUAUUUCUUGUGUAUAUAUAUCUUCUUGGAUUCAGAUGGUUAAAUCCUUACUGUCUGUUAAUUCUCCAUGAUUUUACAAAAUGCAAGAAAUCAGGGAAAGACUCAAAUAGUUUGCAGGCAUUGCAUGCUAUUUUUGCACUAGGCUCAUAUGUUGCACUAGGCAUUGCAACAGUAUUCUAUAGGGACUAGAUAUUUCGAUGAAAUUGCAGAUCGAUGACAAGUGAAAUUCCUAGGGACUCCUUGGUAUGCGCAACUAUUUUGUUCAGACUGUAGCAACUUCUAAUUGACAAUUUUGUCUACUUUUGAUUAUUGAUACCCUUACUGUUGGCAUCUGCACCAGUAUGGCAUCUCUGCUGUUGCUCUUGAAAUUACCAAGUACAGUACCAUCCAAACCCAACCUUGGAAGUAUAAUUGGCUCAUGUUUAUGCUGAUGCUUACUGAGUGAGACUCCUCUUUUUAACCAUUUUUAUUAUGACAUUGUAUUGAAUGUUCUCCAGGGAUGUUAAACUGCAGGUGCAGGCCUGUUUCUUUUCUGCAAUCAUUGGUACUCCAGGAUUUCCUCUUCAUUUGCUUGUUAAACUGCAGGUGCAGGUCAUUGCACAUGUCCGUGUGAAUCCAUUAGAAACACACAUGCUAAAGUGGGAACAGAAAAGAGGCAUAAGUCCUCGAUGAAGAAAGCUAUGUUGCAUGUUGGGUGCAGAGACCAAGAACAAAAAAAAGGAUUAGCUCUGUGCUCACAGGAUGGCGAUGAAUAAUGACAUGGCAGCACCUCCUACGAGUGCUGGACUAGACUGCAUACAGCUUUCAUUGCAUGCAUGUUCAAGGACGCAGAGUAAACAGCUAAAUUUAACUCCGAUAUCUUCAAACCAGCAUCCAAGAAGUUGUGGCUUCAGUUUUCAAAAAUGGUGCUGCUUCGUCAGGUCGAUUCUUCCACGCAAGACGGGGAGGCCUUCAUCGAGCUUCAUGGAACCCUUCGUUGCUCCUUGCUUCUUCCGGCGGUUCUCAUGAUUUCGUGUGCAUUAUCCUAAUUUGAUCUUAUAGACUUUGUUUUGUAAAAUCAAAGAAACCUAUUACCAUUUUUCAACUUAUUUUAUCA
This is a non-coding RNA of Lolium perenne, 3981 nucleotides long. The record is from RefSeq and is a predicted model, not a curated record. NCBI's taxonomy places the organism in Eukaryota, Viridiplantae, Streptophyta, Magnoliopsida, Poales, Poaceae.